UUGAAGAUAUGAAAUUGAGAGUGUUUAUUUUUAAGUGAUGUUUGGGAAAGAUCACAUAAAUGAUAUGAGUUUCCAAACAAGGCCUUAUUCAAUUUCCCAUUUUCCUCUUUUAAUUUGUCUAGAUUGCAAGAGAGAGAUGAGAUUGAUUAUGAUUACAUCGCCAUAUAUAUACAUAUAUAUAUAUAUAUAUAUAUAAGAAUUAUCAACAAGCUAGUUGAGGUGCUUCUUAACCUUGUAGAAGUGAUCAUGUACUCAUCAUCCGAUUCUCCUUUGGACAUGGUCGAUGUUAUAAUCUUGCAGCUUUUCAUUCCAAUAUCAUGCGUUUACAUGGCUGCAGCAGAGGUGAUAACCCAUGUUCCAAAUUAACACGAGCUACAAUCAAGACUCAUGUCAUUGGACCCAUUGAUCAUUUACGUUUGAGGUGCCCUAACUCGAACCCUACUACUAUUAAUCCUUUUUCCAACUAGUACUGAUCCAGAAGCAAUAUGAAACGUUUGAUCUACACAAAGCAUUUCCAUAUAUAAAUUGUUAUAUGUGAAAGUGAAUCACCUGAUCUCCACAACCCGUGGUAGCCAAAGUAAGCGAACCCACCCAUUUCCAUUGCCUAAGGUUAGUUUGGGUAGUUUUAUUAUUACUUUUCACUUACUUUUUAGUAUUAUUCACUACUAUUUAAUAUUCUAUCAUU
Molecule: long non-coding RNA, 685 nt
Organism: Juglans microcarpa x Juglans regia
Lineage: Eukaryota; Viridiplantae; Streptophyta; Magnoliopsida; Fagales; Juglandaceae
Exons: 2
Source: RefSeq, a predicted model, not a curated record